Molecule: transfer RNA, 44 nt
Filed under: Hylomyscus stella (Stella wood mouse)
Lineage: Eukaryota; Metazoa; Chordata; Mammalia; Rodentia; Muridae
Description: partial tRNA-Thr
Source: RNAcentral
CUGGUCUUGUAAACCAGAAAUGAAGAACUAAUCUUCUUAAGACA